RNAcentral lists this long non-coding RNA (419 nucleotides) under Trifolium pratense (red clover). Its description in RNAcentral is "long non-coding RNA (TPRA_LNC003798)". The record is from RNAcentral. Lineage: Eukaryota; Viridiplantae; Streptophyta; Magnoliopsida; Fabales; Fabaceae.
AAAAAAAUAAAAAUUAGAAAUGAUUCCUCCAAAAAAUAAAAUAGAAAUAAAAAAAAUAGAAAUGGUUAAAAAAGAUUGUACAUGAAUUAAAUUAAAAUAUAUACUAUCUUAUACCAAAUAUAUAUAUACUAUCUAAUUUUCAUAAUAAAAUUGGAAUUGAGAUAGAAAUUUUGGGGGAAAAAUGACAUCUUGAAAAUUGAAAGCGUUUUCUCUCUCGACUCUCACUUCUUCCAAGCCGCCGUCGCCGUAAUCUCGCCACCGCCGCUCAACCCGGCCAUCCGCAGCCUUUUAACUGUAGCUGCUUAAAGCACUUCCCGGCAGUGACGCACACAACCGCCGAUCCGGUAAGCUUGUUAAUCUUCUCUAAUUUUGUUUAACAUGAAGAUUUAACUUCGAUAUUCAUAAUCUCUAGUCGAGUU